Rhipicephalus sanguineus (brown dog tick) is the source of this 510-nucleotide long non-coding RNA. RefSeq lists it as uncharacterized. Lineage: Eukaryota; Metazoa; Arthropoda; Arachnida; Ixodida; Ixodidae. The transcript is spliced from 3 exons. The record is from RefSeq and is a predicted model, not a curated record.
CCGCCGCCAGCUUCACAUGUGUGCCGCGCUUACAUGUUUAUCGUGUAUUGUGUGCGUUUAUUGCGUGCUUAUCGUACGCGACAUUCGUCGACUGGGCAUUUUCCGCGUGUUGGGGCGUUCUCCUGCCUUGAUCCAGUGGCGGAUGAUGGUCGUUGUUCGUUGCCACUCAACACAGCCUCACGGGACGCACAGCUUUGUGUCCGCGCUCAAAAGUGCUUUCUUGCUUCGUUCAUCGAUUACUCACGUUCAUCGAGUGAUCGAGUGUACUUCCGAAGACAAUCCGCGUCCGAGUGUUUUGACAAGCGGCGACCGCGGUUCCACAGGAGCGGAAGCUUGAGCCUUUUGACGAGCGACUGUGAAGAGUGCCAAUGCCAAACUUGGGAACCGUCGUGUUGGCACAGCGAGGAUGAUCAACAGAUACCCGAUAGGCAGCGAUGAGAGCUGUUCAUGGCACCGACACAGAGGACAGAUUGCAGUACAAGAUAGGAGCAUACUUCCUGCAAGCCCGGG